UUACCCAAUCCCGAUUCGGGGAGGUAGUGACAAUAAAUAACAAUACAGGGCCAACGGUCUUGUUAUUGGAAUGAGAACAAUUUAAAUAACUUAACGAGGAUCAAUUAGAGGGCAAGUCUGGUGCCAGCAGCCGCGGUAAUUCCAGCUCUAAUAGCGUAUAUUAAAGUUGUUGCAGUUAAAAAGCUCGUAGUCGGAUGUCGGGCUCGGGCAAGCUGUCGGCCUUUGGUCGGACGGCAGGCUCGGGUCUUUCUGCCUGAGGAACCCGGUUGCUUUAACGAGCUGCCGGUGGACGCAGGUCGUUUACUUUGAAAAAAUUAGAGUGUUCAAAGCAGGCUAGCGCUUGAAUACAUUAGCAUGGAAUAAUGGAAUAGGACUUUGGUGCUAUUUUGUUGGUUUAUGGGACCGAAGUAAUGAUUAACAGGGACAGUUGGGGCCGUUUAUAUUUCGUUGUCAGAGGUGAAAUUCUUGGAUUUACGAAAGAUAAACUUCUGCGAAAGCAUUCGGCAAGGAUGUUUUCAUUGAUCAAGAACGAAAGUUAGGGGAUCGAAGACGAUCAGAUACCGUCGUAGUCUUAACCAUAAACUAUGCCGACUAGGGUCAGUGGAUGUCAAUUUGCGACUCCAUUGGCACCUUGUGAGAAAUCAAAGUUUUUGGUUCCGGGGGGAGUAUGGUCGCAAGGCUGAAACUUAAAGGAAUUG
RNAcentral lists this ribosomal RNA (698 nucleotides) under uncultured marine Geminigeraceae. RNAcentral describes it as "SSU rRNA". It matches the Rfam family "Eukaryotic small subunit ribosomal RNA", at positions 441 to 1155 of the family's 1831-position model. Lineage: Eukaryota; Cryptophyceae; Pyrenomonadales; Geminigeraceae. The record is from RNAcentral.